This 447-nucleotide ribosomal RNA is filed under the name uncultured bacterium. RNAcentral describes it as "bacterial SSU rRNA". It matches the Rfam family "Bacterial small subunit ribosomal RNA", at positions 338 to 795 of the family's 1533-position model. The record is from RNAcentral.
CCUACGGGUCGCACCAGUGGGGAAUAUUGCACAAUGGGCGGAAGCCUGAUGCAGCGACGCCGCGUGGGGGAUGACGGCCUUCGGGUUGUAAACUCCUUUCGACAGGGACGAAGCUUUUUGUGACGGUACCUGUAUAAGAAGCACCGGCUAACUACGUGCCAGCAGCCGCGGUAAUACGUAGGGUGCGAGCGUUGUCCGGAAUUACUGGGCGUAAAGAGCUCGUAGGUGGUUUGUCGCGUCGUCUGUGAAAUUCCGGGGCUUAACUCCGGGCGUGCAGGCGAUGCGGGCAUAACUUGAGUGCUGUAGGGGAGACUGGAAUUCCUGGUGUAGCGGUGAAAUGCGCAGAUAUCAGGAGGAACACCGAUGGCGAAGGCAGGUCUCUGGGCAGUAACUGACGCUGAGGAGCGAAAGCGUGGGGAGCGAACAGGAUUAGAUACCCUGGUAGUC